This 461-nucleotide ribosomal RNA is filed under the name uncultured bacterium. RNAcentral's name for it is "partial 16S ribosomal RNA". It matches the Rfam family "Bacterial small subunit ribosomal RNA", at positions 338 to 795 of the family's 1533-position model. The record is from RNAcentral.
CCUACGGGGGACAGCAGUGAGGAAUAUUGGUCAAUGGGCGAGAGCCUGAACCAGCCAAGUCGCGUGAAGGAUGACGGCCCUACGGGUUGUAAACUUCUUUUGUCAGGGAGCAAUUUAGUCCACGUGUGCGCUUAGCGAGAGUCCCCGUAGAAAAAGCAUCGGCUAACUACGUGCCAGCAGCCGCGGUAAUACGGAGGGGGCAAGCGUUAUCCGGAUUUAUUGGGUGUAAAGGGAGCGUAGGCGGCAAGGCAAGCCAGGAGUGAAAGGGCAGGGCUCAACCCUGUAUAUGCAUUUGUAACUGUGUUGCUAGAGUGCAGGAGAGGUAGGAGGAAUUCGUGGUGUAGCGGUGAAAUGCGUAGAUAUUAGGAAGAACACCAGUGGCGAAGGCAGCUUACUGGACUGUAACUGACGUUGAGGCUCGAAAGCGUGGGGAGCAAACAGGAUUAGAUACCCGGGUAGUC